This 269-nucleotide ribosomal RNA is filed under the name uncultured bacterium. Its description in RNAcentral is "partial 16S ribosomal RNA". It matches the Rfam family "Bacterial small subunit ribosomal RNA", at positions 87 to 354 of the family's 1533-position model. The record is from RNAcentral.
CCGGCGACCGGCGGCACGGGUGAGUAACACGUAUGGAACCUGCCCGCAGCAGGGGGAGUAAGCGGAAGAAAUUCCGUCUAAUACCGCGUAACAACGUUGGGAGGCAUCUCCCGAUGUUUAAAGAUUUAUCGGCUGCGGAUGGCCAUGCGGCGCAUUAGCUAGUCGGCGGGGUAACGGCCCACCGAGGCGACGAUGCGUAGGGGUUCGUGAGAGGAAGGUCCCCCACACUGGUACUGAGACACGGACCAGACUCCUACGGGAGGCAGCAG